GAUGAACGCUAGCUACAGGCUUAACACAUGCAAGUCGAGGGGCAGCAUAGUCUUAGCUUGCUAAGGCCGAUGGCGACCGGCGCACGGGUGAGUAACGCGUAUCCAACCUGCCUUACACUCUUGGACAGCCUUCUGAAAGGGAGAUUAAUACAAGAUGUUAUCAUGAGUAAGCAUUUUCGCAUGAUUAAAGGUUUACCGGUGUAAGAUGGGGAUGCGUUCCAUUAGAUAGUAGGCGGGGUAACGGCCCACCUAGUCUUCGAUGGAUAGGGGUUCUGAGAGGAAGGUCCCCCACAUUGGAACUGAGACACGGUCCAAACUCCUACGGGAGGCAGCAGUGAGGAAUAUUGGUCAAUGGACGAGAGUCUGAACCAGCCAAGUAGCGUGAAGGAUGAAGGUUCUAUGGAUUGUAAACUUCUUUUAUACGGGAAUAAACGAAUCCACGUGUGGAUUUUUGCAUGUACCGUAUGAAUAAGGAUCGGCUAACUCCGUGCCAGCAGCCGCGGUAAUACGGAGGAUCCGAGCGUUAUCCGGAUUUAUUGGGUUUAAAGGGAGCGUAGAUGGGUUGUUAAGUCAGUUGUGAAAGUUUGCGGCUCAACCGUAAAAUUGCAAUUGAUACUGGCAGUCUUGAGUACAGUUGAGGUAGGCGGAAUUCGUGGUGUAGCGGUGAAAUGCUUAGAUAUCACGAAGAACUCCGAUUGCGAAGGCAGCUUACUAACCUGUAACUGACAUUGAUGCUCGAAAGUGUGGGUAUCAAACAGGAUUAGAUACCCUGGUAGUCCACACGGUAAACGAUGAAUACUCGCUGUAGGCGAUAUACAGUCUGCGGCCAAGCGAAAGCAUUAAGUAUUCCACCUGGGGAGUACGCCGGCAACGGUGAAACUCAAAGGAAUUGACGGGGGCCCGCACAAGCGGAGGAACAUGUGGUUUAAUUCGAUGAUACGCGAGGAACCUUACCCGGGCUUAAAUUGCAACCGAAUAUGGCGGAAACGCUAUAGCUAGCAAUAGCGGUUGUGAAGGUGCUGCAUGGUUGUCGUCAGCUCGUGCCGUGAGGUGUCGGCUUAAGUGCCAUAACGAGCGCAACCCUUGCCGAUAGUUACUAACAGGUUAUGCUGAGGACUCUGUCGGGACUGCCAUCGUAAGAUGUGAGGAAGGUGGGGAUGACGUCAAAUCAGCACGGCCCUUACGUCCGGGGCUACACACGUGUUACAAUGGGGGGUACAGAGGGCUGCUACCACGCAAGUGGAUGCCAAUCCCAAAAACCUCUCUCAGUUCGGAUUGAAGUCUGCAACCCGACUUCAUGAAGCUGGAUUCGCUAGUAAUCGCGCAUCAGCCACGGCGCGGUGAAUACGUUCCCGGCCCU
RNAcentral lists this ribosomal RNA (1360 nucleotides) under uncultured bacterium. Its description in RNAcentral is "bacterial SSU rRNA". It matches the Rfam family "Bacterial small subunit ribosomal RNA", at positions 28 to 1381 of the family's 1533-position model. The record is from RNAcentral.